Molecule: long non-coding RNA, 273 nt
Organism: Dendroctonus ponderosae (mountain pine beetle)
Lineage: Eukaryota; Metazoa; Arthropoda; Insecta; Coleoptera; Curculionidae
Exons: 2
Source: RefSeq, a predicted model, not a curated record
AUUAAAUUUAUCCUUAUUUUAACCACGUUUCCGAUUGAUCGGUCGAGUUAAAAUAAUUUCAUAUUUCUAAUACCUGUACGGUAUUAAUACCUUCAAAUAACAUUUGCUGUCGAGACUCCAGCAUGGAACAGAAUCCUGCAGCACAUAAAUAGAGGACUUCUGGUGGGGAUUCCUACUCCUAUAGGGCACAAGUUUAGCUACCCAGUUCAUCGUUUUGGGACUCUUUGGAAGACAAUUUGUGUUUUUUACUUAAUAAAUGUUAUUUUAUUUUGA